UGCAAGUCGAACGGCAGCGCGGGAGCAAUCCUGGCGGCGAGUGGCGAACGGGUGAGUAAUACAUCGGAACGUGCCCAAUCGUGGGGGAUAACGCAGCGAAAGCUGUGCUAAUACCGCAUACGAUCUACGGAUGAAAGCAGGGGAUCGCAAGACCUUGCGCGAAUGGAGCGGCCGAUGGCAGAUUAGGUAGUUGGUGAGGUAAAGGCUCACCAAGCCUUCGAUCUGUAGCUGGUCUGAGAGGACGACCAGCCACACUGGGACUGAGACACGGCCCAGACUCCUACGGGAGGCAGCAGUGGGGAAUUUUGGACAAUGGGCGAAAGCCUGAUCCAGCCAUGCCGCGUGCAGGAUGAAGGCCUUCGGGUUGUAAACUGCUUUUGUACGGAACGAAACGGCCUUUUCUAAUAAAGAGGGCUAAUGACGGUACCGUAAGAAUAAGCACCGGCUAACUACGUGCCAGCAGCCGCGGUAAUACGUAGGGUGCAAGCGUUAAUCGGAAUUACUGGGCGUAAAGCGUGCGCAGGCGGUAAUGUAAGACAGUUGUGAAAUCCCCGGGCUCAACCUGGGAACUGCAUCUGUGACUGCAUUGCUGGAGUACGGUAGAGGGGGGAUGGAAUUCCGCGUGUAGCAGUGAAAUGCGUAGAUAUGCGGAGGAACACCGAUGGCGAAGGCAAUCCCCUGGACCUGUACUGACGCUCAUGCACGAAAGCGUGGGGGAGCAAACAGGAUUAGAUACCCUGGUAGUCCACGCCCUAAACGAUGUCAACUGGGUUGUUGGGUCUUCACCUGACUCAGUAA
This 798-nucleotide ribosomal RNA is filed under the name Variovorax paradoxus. Its description in RNAcentral is "bacterial SSU rRNA". It matches the Rfam family "Bacterial small subunit ribosomal RNA", at positions 56 to 846 of the family's 1533-position model. Lineage: Bacteria; Pseudomonadati; Pseudomonadota; Betaproteobacteria; Burkholderiales; Comamonadaceae. The record is from RNAcentral.